UCCUGGGUCUAUUUAAGCUUCCCAUAUGGCUAUUAUUAGGCCUCCCAGGCUGAGUCAGCUGGGGGCUGUGUCUGCCGUGCAGAGAGGACAGUAGACUGGAGCAGGUGUGCUGCGUCUGCAGUGAAGUGGGUGCGAGUUUCCCAGGCUGGGUAACUUGAGAUGUCUGCCUUUACUCUGUGCUGAGGUAUCAGCUGGGGUCGGGUUCCUCUGUAAUUCCACUCCGUCCCCCUUGUGCCCAGAUCAGACUCAGCCCAGAAUGACAGGGCUUUUCACUCGUAGCCCAGCACCUGCUUGAGAGAGGGGCGCCCCCCACGACCAGAGUGUCAUCCCUGCUUCCUGCAGUGCUCUGCCUGGUGCUGACUGUCUAAUAAGAAAUAGAGUCUCGUCAGUGUAAGACCAAGGCCAAUCUGGGGGAGAAAGCUGUUUUGAUCAGAAAGUUGGGAGAAUCGCUAAGCUUUCACUCUGGCCACAUUUUUGGAAGAGUUUGCUCUGACUUCUUAGUGAUGAAGAGUCAUGCUGGGGGAUCCUUUGGGUGCUGCUGCCUCCAUGUUCCCUUGUUGAUGUUUUCCGGGUGAGACCCCUGAAGCUGCAGAUGGGUGGUCUCUGCCACAGGUUUUUGGAGGUCGCGGUGCUCUGGAUUGGCUGUUAACUGUGGGCAUUGGAUGCAGCCUGGGAGGGAGAGAAAGUAACAGCUCCAGACUGGAAAGUAAAACCUGCUUUGCUCCCCGGCUGUGGAAGAACGCGCUCCCUGAGCUGCCUGCAGAGUUGUCAGAAGUGGUGAUGACCCUGUGGGGGUUGGACCCUAAGCUGCCGCUGAAGUUCCAGAUAAACAAGUGGGAGAGGAGUUGGUAGUGGGCCGGCAGGCCCCUUGCUUUAUUGUAGGAGGGAGCCAAGGUGGGGGUGACCCCCUAAGUAGGAACUAGGCUUUGGACGAGCCGCCUCCUCGCCUGGCAUUGGGUCAUGCGUCAGUCAUCUGUCCUGUGUCCUCAGUGUGCACAGAGAGGUCCAUGACCACUCUCCAUUCUGCCGAGGGAGCCUGGUGCCUUCCUCUAAGGGUCGGGCCUGGGCAACUAGAGCAGCACGGGGCCACUCAGGGCUCGGGGUGUAAAUAUUUUUAGCUUCCUGGCCACCACAGGGUCUCGGGUGGCUCCUGAACUAGCUGUAGUGUCUUGACACAAAGUUAGGCAUCGAUUUUCUGUAAACGAACAACUGUUCAGAAACAUAUGUAUGUUCCAGAAAGCUUUAUUUACAAAGAAUCUCGGUGCUGGAGGUGGGCAUGGGCCAUGGCUUGCUGACCACACAGCGCAAAGCUCGGGGUGGACUGCUCAGUCAGCAUGUGGGCUUGGGAAGUCACCAGACCCACUUCCCUGACUGGGGUCUGAUGAGGCGGUGGCAGGCCCCACUGCACACCUGGGCGGGCUGGAUGUGUGGCAGGUGUUGACCCUGAACGUGGGGUGUGCCUGAAGCAUGUCAUCCGUGUUCCAGUUUGUGCCCUGAUUCCUGGGUCACGUGCUUUGACAGUGUCCCACCUGAAGAGGGUGAUCACUGCCAGCAGUCUUCCUGGAAGUGGGCUUAGGAGUCGUUGGCAGGCUGCUGGCUCUGUGGUUCUGGUUGGGGGCUGGCCUCCUGUUUCUUCAUGCUCAGGCACCUCAGAAGGCUCUCUAUGGCUGGGGUUCUUGGGAGACUUCUGGGGAGCCUGGUGUGGAGAGGGUUCAGGAACACCUGACUAGGGGGCCCUGGUGUUGCGAUGCCUCCUGGAGUUACCUCCCUCUGGGCCGGCUUCCACGUUGAGUGAUUUUGUUUGCACCACCCACACUGAGCAGAAGUGCAGGCUGCCUCAGGGUUGGGGGGCGGGUCCAGUUUGGCAAUGCUGGUGGCGUCUGAUGCUUCACUUUUGCCCCUGUUCCAGUCAGCUGUCGGCCAUGAACACCAGUCAAAGCUCUCCAAGCACUGCUUUCAGGUUGACUCCGUCUGGGGGUUUGGAGGCAAAUUUGGUGUCCAGAUGGACAGGAGGACCCUCUUACAGGACUUUCAAGGUCUUCCCACGUGGAGGAAACUUGGAUGAGCAUGAUACGACUUGGUGUGACCUGGCGGAUGUACGGACUCUUAAACCCUGAGAGCCCAGGGUCUACAGCUCCUGAAAAGGAAUCUGCUGAAGAGGACAGGCCUGACAAGUCAAAUGAGGGAAAAACAAUGCAGCCUGGGGGCUAAGCCUUUUCUCUUUCACUUUCUUGACAUUUAUAUUUACAUUUCUUUUAAUACAUUUUCAAAAAC
Bubalus bubalis (water buffalo) is the source of this 2274-nucleotide long non-coding RNA. RefSeq lists it as uncharacterized. Lineage: Eukaryota; Metazoa; Chordata; Mammalia; Artiodactyla; Bovidae. The record is from RefSeq and is a predicted model, not a curated record. The transcript has 2 exons.